GGGGCUUUAGCUCAGCUGGGAGAGCGCCUGUUUUGCACGCAGGAGGUCGACGGUUCGAUCCCGUUAAGCUCCACCA
RNAcentral lists this transfer RNA (76 nucleotides) under Acholeplasma sp. RNAcentral describes it as "tRNA-Ala". It matches the Rfam family "tRNA". From Rfam's summary of the family: Transfer RNA (tRNA) molecules are approximately 80 nucleotides in length. Their secondary structure includes four short double-helical elements and three loops (D, anti-codon, and T loops). Further hydrogen bonds mediate the characteristic L-shaped molecular structure. tRNAs have two regions of fundamental functional importance: the anti-codon, which is responsible for specific mRNA codon recognition, and the 3' end, to which the tRNAs corresponding amino acid is attached (by aminoacyl-tRNA synthetases). tRNAs cope with the degeneracy of the genetic code in two manners: having more than one tRNA (with a specific anti-codon) for a particular amino acid; and 'wobble' base-pairing, i.e. permitting non-standard base-pairing at the 3rd anti-codon position. The record is from RNAcentral. RNAcentral also lists the same sequence under 4 other names. Lineage: Bacteria; Bacillati; Mycoplasmatota; Mollicutes; Acholeplasmatales; Acholeplasmataceae.